This 301-nucleotide ribosomal RNA is filed under the name uncultured bacterium. RNAcentral's name for it is "partial 16S ribosomal RNA". It matches the Rfam family "Archaeal small subunit ribosomal RNA", at positions 459 to 760 of the family's 1478-position model. The record is from RNAcentral.
CAGUCGCCGCGGUAAAACCAGCACCUCGAGUGGUCAGGAGGUUUAUUGGGCCUAAAGCAUCCGUAGCCGGUUGCAUAAGUUUUCGGUUAAAUCUAUGCGCCUAGCGUAUAGGCCGCCGAAAAUACUGUGCAGCUAGGGAGUGGGAGAGGUACACGGUACUCGAUAGGAAGGGGUAAAAUCCUUUGAUCUAUUGAUGACCACCUGUGGCGAAGGCGGUGUACCAGAACACGUUCGACGGUGAGGGAUGAAAGCUGGGGGAGCAAACCGGAUUAGAUACCCCCGUAGUCCCUGUCUCUUAUAC